CACGCUGUUAAACGAAUGAACGAACUUAGGUGUGGGGGGGUUCAGUCCCUUCCGUGCCGCAGCUAACGCAUUAAGUCGUCCGCCUGGGGAGUACGGCCGCAAGGUUGAAACUCAAAGGAAUUGACGGGGGCCCGCACAAGCGGUGGGGCAUGUGGUUCAAUUCGAUGCAGAGCGAAGAACCUUACCUGGGCUUGACAUGCAGGAAGUAGGAACCGGAAACGGUGACGACCUGUUAAGUCAGGAACCUGCCCAGGUGGUGCAUGGCUGUCCUCAGGUCGUGUUCUGAGG
RNAcentral lists this ribosomal RNA (288 nucleotides) under uncultured bacterium. Its description in RNAcentral is "partial 16S ribosomal RNA". It matches the Rfam family "Bacterial small subunit ribosomal RNA", at positions 796 to 1072 of the family's 1533-position model. The record is from RNAcentral.